GAUGAACGCUGGCGGCGUGCUUAACACAUGCAAGUCGAACGGUGAACAUGGAGCUUGCUCUGUGGGAUCAGUGGCGAACGGGUGAGUAACACGUGAGCAACCUGCCCCUGACUCUGGGAUAAGCGCUGGAAACGGCGUCUAAUACUGGAUACGAGUAGCGGCCGCAUGGUCAGUUACUGGAAAGAUUUUUUGGUUGGGGAUGGGCUCGCGGCCUAUCAGCUUGUUGGUGAGGUAAUGGCUCACCAAGGCGUCGACGGGUAGCCGGCCUGAGAGGGUGACCGGCCAAACUGGGACUGAGACACGGCCCAGACUCCUACGGGAGGCAGCAGUGGGGAAUAUUGCACAAUGGGCGGAAGCCUGAUGCAGCAACGCCGCGUGAGGGAUGACGGCCUUCGGGUUGUAAACCUCUUUUAGCAGGGAAGAAGCGAAAGUGACGGUACCUGCAGAAAAAGCGCCGGCUAAAUACGUGCCAGCAGCCGCCGUAA
RNAcentral lists this ribosomal RNA (485 nucleotides) under uncultured bacterium. RNAcentral describes it as "partial 16S ribosomal RNA". It matches the Rfam family "Bacterial small subunit ribosomal RNA", at positions 28 to 523 of the family's 1533-position model. The record is from RNAcentral.